Molecule: ribosomal RNA, 274 nt
Filed under: uncultured bacterium
Lineage: Bacteria
Description: partial 16S ribosomal RNA
Rfam family: Bacterial small subunit ribosomal RNA
Source: RNAcentral
AUACGGAGGGGGCUAGCGUUGUUCGGAAUUACUGGGCGUAAAGCGUACGCAGGCUGACCAUUAAGUUAGAGGUGAAAUCCCAGGGCUCAACCCUGGAACUGCCUUUAAAACUGCUGGUCUGGAGUUAUGGAGAGGUAAGUGGAAUUCCUAGUGUAGAGGUGAAAUUCGUAGAUAUUAGGAGGAACACCAGAGGCGAAGGCGGCUUACUGGACAUAUACUGACGCUGAGGUACGAAAGUGUGGAAAGCAAACGGGAUUAGAAACCCCUGUAGUCC